RNAcentral lists this ribosomal RNA (878 nucleotides) under Mammaliicoccus sciuri. RNAcentral's name for it is "bacterial SSU rRNA". It matches the Rfam family "Bacterial small subunit ribosomal RNA", at positions 46 to 901 of the family's 1533-position model. The record is from RNAcentral. Lineage: Bacteria; Bacillati; Bacillota; Bacilli; Caryophanales; Staphylococcaceae.
GGCUGUAGUUUGAACCUCGAGCAGAACAGAUCGAGACAGCUGUGCUUCUCUGAUGUUAGCGGCGGACGGGUGAGUAACACGUGGGUAACCUACCUAUAAGACUGGGAUAACUCCGGGAAACCGGGGCUAAUACCGGAUAAUAUUUUGAACCGCAUGGUUCAAUAGUGAAAGACGGUUUCGGCUGUCACUUAUAGAUGGACCCGCGCCGUAUUAGCUAGUUGGUAAGGUAACGGCUUACCAAGGCGACGAUACGUAGCCGACCUGAGAGGGUGAUCGGCCACACUGGAACUGAGACACGGUCCAGACUCCUACGGGAGGCAGCAGUAGGGAAUCUUCCGCAAUGGGCGAAAGCCUGACGGAGCAACGCCGCGUGAGUGAUGAAGGUCUUCGGAUCGUAAAACUCUGUUGUUAGGGAAGAACAAAUUUGUUAGUAACUGAACAAGUCUUGACGGUACCUAACCAGAAAGCCACGGCUAACUACGUGCCAGCAGCCGCGGUAAUACGUAGGUGGCAAGCGUUAUCCGGAAUUAUUGGGCGUAAAGCGCGCGUAGGCGGUUUCUUAAGUCUGAUGUGAAAGCCCACGGCUCAACCGUGGAGGGUCAUUGGAAACUGGGAAACUUGAGUGCAGAAGAGGAGAGUGGAAUUCCAUGUGUAGCGGUGAAAUGCGCAGAGAUAUGGAGGAACACCAGUGGCGAAGGCGGCUCUCUGGUCUGUAACUGACGCUGAUGUGCGAAAGCGUGGGGAUCAAACAGGAUUAGAUACCCUGGUAGUCCACGCCGUAAACGAUGAGUGCUAAUUGUUAGGGGGUUUCCGCCCCUUAGUGCUGCAGCUAACGCAUUAAGCACUCCGCCUGGGGAGUACGACACCAGGUUGGAACU